AUUGAACGCUGGCGGCAUGCCUUACACAUGCAAGUCGAACGGCAGCACGGGUGCUUGCACCUGGUGGCGAGUGGCGAACGGGUGAGUAAUACAUCGGAACAUGUCCUGUAGUGGGGGAUAGCCCGGCGAAAGCCGGAUUAAUACCGCAUACGAUCUACGGAUGAAAGCGGGGGACCUUCGGGCCUCGCGCUAUAGGGUUGGCCGAUGGCUGAUUAGCUAGUUGGUGGGGUAAAGGCCUACCAAGGCGACGAUCUGUAGCUGGUCUGAGAGGACGACCAGCCACACUGGAACUGAGACACGGCCCAGACUCCUACGGGAGGCAGCAGUGGGGAAUUUUGGACAAUGGGCGAAAGCCUGAUCCAGCAAUGCCGCGUGUGUGAAGAAGGCCUUCGGGUUGUAAAGCACUUUUGUCCGGAAAGAAAUCCUUGGCCCUAAUACGGUCGGGGGAUGACGGUACCGGAAGAAUAAGCACCGGCUAACUACGUG
This 486-nucleotide ribosomal RNA is filed under the name uncultured bacterium. RNAcentral's name for it is "partial 16S ribosomal RNA". It matches the Rfam family "Bacterial small subunit ribosomal RNA", at positions 30 to 507 of the family's 1533-position model. The record is from RNAcentral.